CGCUAUUUAUGGUGGAUCAUCUGUAUAUUUCCUCAGACAGAAUUAAGUAUAUAAAAAAAAUCCGAUGACUGGGGUUGUUCGUUUAGAUGAGGUUCUUAAGUUGUGAAAAAGUUAGUAUCAUGAGAGGAUAAAAAAUCCUCUUUUUCAAGAAGCGUAACACUUCGAUUUUUUUUUAAAAUUUCUCUGCAAUAAGAUUCAUAUACAUGUAUAGAACUUUGAAGUGAAAAUGAAAAUGGGCCUAAAGCGUGACAUUGGCUAUAUA
RNAcentral lists this long non-coding RNA (262 nucleotides) under Mytilus galloprovincialis (Mediterranean mussel). The record is from RNAcentral. Lineage: Eukaryota; Metazoa; Mollusca; Bivalvia; Mytilida; Mytilidae.